UGGGAUGUAGCUCAGUGGUAGAGAGCGUGUUUUACACACACGUAGUCUUGGGUUUGAUCCCCAGCAUUAUAA
RNAcentral lists this transfer RNA (72 nucleotides) under Marmota monax (woodchuck). It matches the Rfam family "tRNA". From Rfam's summary of the family: Transfer RNA (tRNA) molecules are approximately 80 nucleotides in length. Their secondary structure includes four short double-helical elements and three loops (D, anti-codon, and T loops). Further hydrogen bonds mediate the characteristic L-shaped molecular structure. tRNAs have two regions of fundamental functional importance: the anti-codon, which is responsible for specific mRNA codon recognition, and the 3' end, to which the tRNAs corresponding amino acid is attached (by aminoacyl-tRNA synthetases). tRNAs cope with the degeneracy of the genetic code in two manners: having more than one tRNA (with a specific anti-codon) for a particular amino acid; and 'wobble' base-pairing, i.e. permitting non-standard base-pairing at the 3rd anti-codon position. The record is from Rfam by way of RNAcentral. Lineage: Eukaryota; Metazoa; Chordata; Mammalia; Rodentia; Sciuridae.